Long non-coding RNA from Sapajus apella (tufted capuchin), 1215 nucleotides. RefSeq lists it as uncharacterized. Lineage: Eukaryota; Metazoa; Chordata; Mammalia; Primates; Cebidae. The record is from RefSeq and is a predicted model, not a curated record. The transcript has 3 exons.
GAGCAAGACUCUGUCUCAAAAAAAAUAAAAAAUACAAAAAGUCAAACGCAAGUGUGUUUGAAACUCUAGCAAGGAUUGUGGUCAGGAUCUCUGGUGCAGUCAGUGUAGCUGUUGGCAGAAAAUCACUAAUUUUGAAAUGUCUCAAAGCGGUUUCCACUUGUCGAGCAAGCUAACUGCUGUUUAGUGAGAUGGGGCUUUUGGAAGUGGCUUGAUGUGGCCAUUCACGCAGCCAUAACUUACACAUAACUUCUCUCUUUUUUUAUGGCUGCAACAUUUUAUGGUUACAUGUUAAUCACAUUUUCUACUUCCUUCUCCCCUAAGCUCAGCGCAGGCAGUGAUGUUGAAGAGCCUCCUCUCAGCACGAAGUGAGGAUGCCUGCAUUCUUAGUUGAUGGCAGCCUGCAGACUUGGAAGCGUUCCCUUCGGUUAUCCUAGAGAAUGUGGGCUUGUUUGAGUUUCAAGUCCAGAUGUGCACACUCUGAGGAGGCAGCAUGCUGAGAUGUGCUCGAGGUGAACAUUCAGGGCAGCUGCUCUUCAGAAGCAAGGCUUGUAAUGUGGCCCCAAGUACACUCUCCUGCUGUUGGUCUGGAAUCGACAUUGCCGGUCCAGAUGUUUUGAGAGAAGCUGUAAAUCUCUGGCUGCCUCUGAUUUGAUCUAAUGAGGGGGCAUGACUCUUGGGACCAGUGGGCGGGAUGACUCCUCGGUGGGGUACCUCCAGCCGUCCUUCAGGGGUGGCCUCAGGGUGUGAGUUAUGGUCCCAGAGGACUCAUCAUUACUUGAAAGUUUUGCAGAUGGAAUUGUUACCUGUGUCGGCAGAUCUCAGGAGGGCAGGAGGACUUAAAUGUUCCAACAGACUGGUUGAUUCUUGUAGCUGUGAUCCCAAAAUUCUGUGGAGAAAAGCACAGGGAGCUCUGGGAUGUGAAUCCUGGUGAUCCGGGAGAGGCUGGUGUUGCUGAGAGACGAAUGAUCUUCUACCAGCCCAGAAGAGAAUGCCUGGCUGAGGAUGAGACGAUGGGAGCUGAGGCCAUGUGUCCCAGUGAGGGGUAUAGUCUGGCUGGAGAAGGAGCAUGCAAGUCAUGAGUUGUUCUGAGAUGGGUGUGGGUGGUGUCUGAUGCUCUUUAUCAAAGGUCUUGGGUUGAGAAUGAAAAGGAUUCUCAAGGAAGGGAAGUGGCAGAGAUCCCAGAUCAUUCCUCUCUUCUCCCUUCCCUCUUCCUUU